This 2687-nucleotide long non-coding RNA is filed under the name Eucalyptus grandis. RNAcentral's name for it is "long non-coding RNA (EGRA_LNC002665)". The record is from RNAcentral. Lineage: Eukaryota; Viridiplantae; Streptophyta; Magnoliopsida; Myrtales; Myrtaceae.
UGAUUUUUAAGCACAUGCGGAAGCAAAAAUAAAUCCCCUGACAAUAACCAUCUCAGGAUAGGAAAGUAGGAUACGAAUUCACGAAACAAACAUGCUUUUAUAUAUACAGUGAGUCAUGUACAAAAGUCUAUGACCAAAAGACUACAAAAGACUAGCCUUCCAAAAGAAGCGGUCAGUUAAGCGGUCCUAACUGACCUACACUUCCGAUCACCUCCUCUCAGCUCCAGGUCCUCCACUCGACGACCCUAAAAAUAUUGUCCCACAACAGGGUGAGAUAAAAUCUUAGCGAGUCUAAGCUCUAAACCCCAAUUAGGAGGGAAAUACACCUAGAAGCGUCCUAACCACGCAAUCAUACAAUUAGCAUAGAGAACUUACUUCGCCUCAGUUCCACCCUGCAGGUCAGCACAGUUCAUAUACAUUAUGUAUAGAAUCGAUACAUCCAGCAAUUGAAACGCAUCACUCAACUCAAUAAAUUACAAGGGUCCAGAUUAUAGGGCAAAUCGUUAUGACACAUCCCAUACCAUGUCACAUAAUUUUGUCCCAUAAUCCAGCGCAUCAAACUCAACCAUCAUGCAUUCCAAUUGUUAAUUACACCCCUCAAGGGUACAGCCAACUCUAUUGGCGAUCUUCUGGCAUUGCCAAGCGUUGUCUCACCCCCAUUGAGCACGGUUACGUCUCUCUCAGAGACGACUUCUCCGAAGGGGCGUAGGUCCAGAAUCUACUGCGACUCGAAUACAACCUACUCACAAGUUCGGUGUCUUCUGGCAUAGCCAGGCUUCGUCUCCCACCAUGAGCACAGCGACGUCUCUCAAUUAGACGGCUUCCUCGAAGGGGCGUAGGUCCAAAAUCUACUGCGACCCGAGUCCCAAUGAAUGGGUAACAUCCGGCUUAACAAUCCAUGAUGGUUUCUCUUAACCAACAUACGACCACUCAAUCUGGCCCAGGACACUGUGCAUUGCACUCAAAUGCCUCCAUUAAAUAGUGAUCCUGGCCUAUUUUCUUCGUAUUAAAAACGUCCCGAAAAUAGUCGUGUGUGGGUACACGGUCAAUUUGAACCAGAAGACUGAUACCUACCGUUUUCAAACCCCACUAUUUGAUAUAGUACUUAAAAUCCAUUUUCGGUGUUAAAACCCGACACCCAGAAUUUUCUAAAUAAAUAUCAAAAUCCACAAAUUUUGGAAUUAAAUACUCAAAAUUCCAAUCAACACUCAAUUUGCACAACUAACACUCAAUUGCAGAAAUGAACCACGCCAUUACAAUCAGCACGAAAUUCCGGCCACCGACUAUUCCGGCCUAAAUUCUGGAAAAAUAAUUAAUAAAUAAUUAUUUCGAAAAUUAAUUAAUUAAUUCAAUUUAAUUUCUAAAAAUACUAACCUUGGCCAAAAUUAUUAAAUUAAAUACCAAUACAGACCCGGAAAAUUCCCUAACCCUUCUAGAUAAAUAGUACAAUUUAUUUAGGCCUUAGCUAAACCAUGCUAACCACCUAACAUGCUCAAUUAAAUAAUUAAAUUUCUAAUUUAAUCUAACUAACCACCUAAUUCCUAAUAAAAUAAAUCUAAACACCCCUUAAACGUCAUUAGCCUACUAAGCAGAGUUUAGAGUAUAAACUCACCGGCUAAUUGCGGAAACCGAUCCACCGUGACGACGACGCGAUAGCGGCCGAAAUCAAAAUUUUCGGCGGCGUCGACAAACUUGGGCUGGGCCUAAACUUGGCCCAACACAACUCAGCAAGGCUGAAUUUCGGUCUUGGGCUUCUGCAGGGCUACUGGUCGCGAGCUUGGGCUUUCUUCGCAGGCCCAAAAUGGGCUGAACUUUAAAUGGGCUAAAACCAACUGAACUUGGGCCUGAGCUUGGGCUUCAAAAUCUGCUGGAGAUGGGCUUAAAAUCAUUGUGCUAAAGAUGGGCUUGUGGAUGAAUUCGUGGGCUGAUGAUGCGGGCUGGAUACGGGCCCAACUGCUGACAAAAUUCGCUAGCUUCGUGGACAAUGAUGCUGCCUUGCUUGGACUUCGCUGGCACACGAGGAAAGCAGCUACUGGUGGUAAAGAUGAAGACACGAGGCAGAAGGAGCUGGACGUUGGCCGCGUGGAGAGGGGAUCGCACGAUGAAGCUGCUGGAUUAAAUUUCGAUGGACUCCUCUGUUUGCGCAAAUAAGUGGAGAUUGGCGGUCAUCACACCUGCUGGAGUUGACCUCGAUGGAUUGAAGACACGAGGAGGGGAUGCGGAUCUUCGGGGCAGCUGCUUCGGACGUGUGGCCGUAGAUGGAGCAGCUUCGUUGGGUCUUCAAUUCGGCUGAAGAAGACCACGCGGGCAGUUGGCUGGCAUCCACAAAUUUGCCGACAGCACGGAGUUGGGCUGUGCGAUGCAGACGUGAGGUUUCGGUGGAGGUUUAGGUCAACACCGGCUUCAAUUGUUGACUGAAGAAGGUGGAGACUCGGACGUGUGGGCGCUGGUCUUCGUGAGGGAGAGAGGGACGCUCGGUGAGUGGAGAUGUGGGCGAGUGAUUGUGGUUCGGUCGGUGGGGACAGCAAGAGAGGCAACAGGGACUUGGUGAUUGAUGAAAAAUAAAGGGAAAAUGAAAGCAAGGUAGGAGCCAACGGAGAGGGAGAGAGAAAUGGUCGAGCAGGAAGAAGAUGAUGAAGACCGAAGGGGAAAGGAGCGUAUGGGAGAAGCUUGAGCGAGAGAAAGCC